AACGCGAAGAACCUUACCUGGGCUCGAAAUGUAGUGGACCGGGGUAGAAAUAUCCCUUCCUAGCAAUAGGCUGCUAUAUAGGUGCUGCAUGGCUGUCGUCAGCUCGUGUCGUGAGAUGUUGGGUUAAGUCCCGCAACGAGCGCAACCCUUAUUACCAGUUGCCAUCAUUUAGUUGGGCACUCUGGUGAGACCGCCUCGGAUAACGGGGAGGAAGGUGGGGAUGACGUCAAGUCCUCAUGGCCUUUAUGUCCAGGGCUACACACGUGCUACAAUGGCCGGUACAAACCGUCGCAAACCCGUGAGGGGGAGCUAAUCGGAGAAAGCCGGCCUCAGUUCGGAUUGGAGUCUGCAACUCGACUCCAUGAAGCUGGAAUCGCUAGUAAUCGCAGAUCAGAACGCUGCGGUGAAUACGUUCCCGGGCCUUGUACACACCGACUGUAC
RNAcentral lists this ribosomal RNA (441 nucleotides) under uncultured bacterium. RNAcentral's name for it is "bacterial SSU rRNA". It matches the Rfam family "Bacterial small subunit ribosomal RNA", at positions 958 to 1399 of the family's 1533-position model. The record is from RNAcentral.